Molecule: ribosomal RNA, 575 nt
Filed under: Dysidea cf. pallescens DE-2012
Lineage: Eukaryota; Metazoa; Porifera; Demospongiae; Dictyoceratida; Dysideidae
Description: eukaryotic LSU rRNA
Rfam family: Eukaryotic large subunit ribosomal RNA (bases 225-575)
Source: RNAcentral
UCUGUCCGAGCGUCUGCCAACCAACAAAGUCCUCGCUCGAUGCGCGAGGAGAUUGGGGAACUGCGGCGUGCCGUUGGGUGGAAGUGCCGCACUCCCUGAAGUGUCGAAGACCGRCGUGGUCGCCCGCCGCACGAGUCGGUCGGUGACGACGGUGCACAGUGUCGUCCCGGCCGUUGCCCGUGCGAGCGGAGGGCCAGCCGAUCGAGAUCGGGUGUCGCCAAUCUGGACCUCGGAUCAGGCCAGGCUACCCGCUGAAUUUAAGCAUAUCAAUAAGCGGAGGAAAAGAAACUAACAAGGAUUCCCUUAGUAACGGCGAGCGAAGCGGGAAGAGCUCAAAUUUGAAAUCUCCGGUGCCUGCACCGGCGAAUUGUAGUCUGUAGGGCCAGUUUCGCCCGACGCGGUGUCCCCAAAGUCGUCCUGGAAAGGCGGGCCGGAGAGGGUGAGAGCCCCGUGUGCGGGGGCGCCGCGGAAGGUAAGAUCUGUGCCCGAAGAGUCGGGUUGUUUGGGAUUGCAGCCCAAAAUGGGUGGUAAACUCCAUCUAAAGCUAAAUACCGGCACGAGACCGAUAGCGAACA